CCGGUAAAACAGAGCUGCUCUGUUCUGCCCUCCAAGCAGUCAUACUAGGUUUCUUGUGGUGAAGAGCUUGACAAAACCGGUUCCAUUUCUUUCUCAGUCCACUCAAUUCAUCCUGAAAGUUAAACCCACAAAAAAAAC
Molecule: small RNA, 138 nt
Filed under: Arabidopsis thaliana (thale cress)
Lineage: Eukaryota; Viridiplantae; Streptophyta; Magnoliopsida; Brassicales; Brassicaceae
Description: ATSL232020
Source: RNAcentral